AUCACUUCUCAGCCUUUUGGCUAAUAUCAAGUGUAGUAUCUGUUCUUAUCAGUUUAAUAUCUGAUACGUCCUCUACCUGAGGACAAUAUGUUAAAUGAAUUUUUGGAGAUUGGAGUUGGAAUAGGAGCUUGCUCUGUCCAUUCCACACACUGACCUGGUAUUGCAGUACCUCUAGGAAUGGUGCAAUCCCU
This 191-nucleotide small nuclear RNA is filed under the name Jaculus jaculus (lesser Egyptian jerboa). Its description in RNAcentral is "U2 spliceosomal RNA (ENSJJAG00000005297.1)". It matches the Rfam family "U2 spliceosomal RNA". Rfam says of the family: U2 is a small nuclear RNA (snRNA) component of the spliceosome (involved in pre-mRNA splicing). The record is from Rfam by way of RNAcentral. Lineage: Eukaryota; Metazoa; Chordata; Mammalia; Rodentia; Dipodidae.